Molecule: transfer RNA, 72 nt
Filed under: Camelus bactrianus (Bactrian camel)
Lineage: Eukaryota; Metazoa; Chordata; Mammalia; Artiodactyla; Camelidae
Also listed under: 2 other names
Rfam family: tRNA
About the family: Transfer RNA (tRNA) molecules are approximately 80 nucleotides in length.
Source: Rfam by way of RNAcentral
GAGGGUAUAUCUCAGGGGUAGAGCGCAUGCUUAGCAUGCAUGAGACCAUGGGUUUGAUCUCCAGUACCUCCA